CCUACGGGUGGCUGCAGUGGGGAAUAUUGGACAAUGGGGGGAACCCUGAUCCAGCCAUGCCGCGUGUGUGAAGAAGGCCCUCGGGUUGUAAAGCACUUUCAGUGAGGAAGAACGCCUGGUGGUUAAUACCCAUCAGGAAAGACAUCACUCACAGAAGAAGCACCGACUAACUCCGUGCCAGCAGCCGCGGUAAUACGGAGGGUGCGAGCGUUAAUCGGAAUUACUGGGCGUAAAGCGCGCGUAGGUGGCUUGAUAAGCCGGUUGUGAAAGCCCCGGGCUCAACCUGGGAACGGCAUCCGGAACUGUCAAGCUAGAGUGCAGGAGAGGAAGGUAGAAUUCCCGGUGUAGCGGUGAAAUGCGUAGAGAUCGGGAGGAAUACCAGUGGCGAAGGCGGCCUUCUGGACUGACACUGACACUGAGGUGCGAAAGCGUGGGUAGCAAACAGGAUUAGAUACCCUAGUAGUC
RNAcentral lists this ribosomal RNA (465 nucleotides) under Vreelandella stevensii. Its description in RNAcentral is "partial 16S ribosomal RNA". It matches the Rfam family "Bacterial small subunit ribosomal RNA", at positions 338 to 795 of the family's 1533-position model. The record is from RNAcentral. Lineage: Bacteria; Pseudomonadati; Pseudomonadota; Gammaproteobacteria; Oceanospirillales; Halomonadaceae.